This 253-nucleotide ribosomal RNA is filed under the name uncultured bacterium. RNAcentral describes it as "partial 16S ribosomal RNA". It matches the Rfam family "Bacterial small subunit ribosomal RNA", at positions 524 to 776 of the family's 1533-position model. The record is from RNAcentral.
UACAGAGGUCUCAAGCGUUGUUCGGAUUCAUUGGGCGUAAAGGGCGCGUAGGCGGCUCGACAAGUCCCGCGUGAAAGCCCCCGGCUCAACUGGGGAACUGCGCGGGAAACUGUCGGACUUGAGUUCGGGAGAGGGAAGCGGAAUUCCGGGUGUAGCGGUGAAAUGCGUAGAUAUCCGGAGGAACACCGGUGGCGAAGGCGGCUUCCUGGACCGACACUGACGCUGAGGCGCGAAAGCUAGGGGAGCAAACGGG